Molecule: long non-coding RNA, 597 nt
Filed under: Nicotiana benthamiana
Lineage: Eukaryota; Viridiplantae; Streptophyta; Magnoliopsida; Solanales; Solanaceae
Description: long non-coding RNA (NBEN_LNC025129)
Source: RNAcentral
UAUCUUGCUUUCUUAUAAAAGCCUUCUUUCUUGCCUUAAAAGAAAGGGGGGAGAGGAAAAAAUAGAAUCAUAGGCGGCUGAAAAUUGAAUGAGAAUUCUUACUGUUCUAUUGAAUUUCUAUUCUAAGGUGUAGGCUUGUUAUUCCAAAAAUAAGAUCUGGUUCAAUUUUGAAAGAAGAGAUGGUGUGAGCUUGAGUUUGAAAAGGUAUUGGGAUCUGAAUAUUGUUGGAGUUCAUCAUUCCAUUGACUUGGAACAAAUUUUCAGCGUUUUCAAUUCAUGAGAACUUGUUGGGUCUGCUGUUUGAGUGAAAUUUUUUUCCGGGAUGUAUUACGGUAUUUUUGGAAUUAAAAAAAUCCUUCUGCUUUCUACUCCUUGGUUGUUGGGGCUGAGUCUAUGUAACUGGCUUUUGUUGUUGAUUCUGCUGCCUGUUUGUUCAUCAAUCACCCUUGUUUCUUUCCAUUAUCCAGGUGCAUACUUCAAACCCCAAUGUGUAAUCAAAUUUGGAGAUGAAUGAAGCUAUUUCUGUGUUGCCGCAUUAGUGUUUUUUUAACAAAAUGAUCAUGUCCCCUUGCCUGUUUAUUUUAGACUAGUGAUCUG